RNAcentral lists this small nuclear RNA (118 nucleotides) under Cebus imitator (Panamanian white-faced capuchin). The record is from RNAcentral. Lineage: Eukaryota; Metazoa; Chordata; Mammalia; Primates; Cebidae.
GUUAUUAUCUACCCCACCACCACCAAGAACAUCAACUAAAAUUGGAGUGAUACAGAGAAGAUUGGCAUGGCCCUUGCACAAAGGUGACAUGCAGAUUCAUGAAGCAUUACAUAUUUUA